Non-coding RNA from Crepidotus variabilis, 93 nucleotides. NCBI's taxonomy places the organism in Eukaryota, Fungi, Basidiomycota, Agaricomycetes, Agaricales, Crepidotaceae. The record is from the annotation of a GenBank genome assembly.
GGUGCUAUAGUGUAGUGGUUAUCACUCAGGAUUUUGAAGCCUUCCUAGGUUAUAAAUCUUCCUGAAACCCAGGUUCGAACCCUGGUAGCACCU